GAAAAGAACUUUGAAAAGAGAGUUAAAUAGUACGUGAAAUUGUUGAAAGGGAAACGAUUGAAGUCAGUCGUACUGGCGAAAAAUCAACUACUCGAGUGAGUACUUGUGGGCGUACGUGAGCUUCACGGCCGCGUUGUUUGCAAUGUUCGUGCUCUUGUGGUGUACUUUUUCGUGUGGUAGGUCAAUGUCGGUUUUGAACGCCAUAAAAUGAUCGGAGGAAUGUAGCUUCGAUCUCGUAUUGAAGUGUUAUAGCCUUUGGUAGAUGUAAUGAUCAAGAUCGAGGAUUGCAACGAAUACCCUUUUGGGCUUUCCGUCUGACCUCUGAUGGUUAGCUGGGUGCCGAAAGCGUGCUUACGGUUAUCCAAGUUGACUGUCAAUAGAUUAGAACGUGAUUACAUUC
Molecule: ribosomal RNA, 400 nt
Filed under: uncultured Glomeromycotina
Lineage: Eukaryota; Fungi; Glomeromycota
Description: eukaryotic LSU rRNA
Source: RNAcentral